RNAcentral lists this ribosomal RNA (534 nucleotides) under soil fungal sp. DM261. Its description in RNAcentral is "eukaryotic LSU rRNA". It matches the Rfam family "Eukaryotic large subunit ribosomal RNA", at positions 100 to 657 of the family's 3401-position model. Lineage: Eukaryota; Fungi. The record is from RNAcentral.
GACAACAGCUCAAAUUUGAAAUCUGGCCCCUCGGGCCCGAGUUGUAAUUUGUAGAGGANGCUUUUGGUGCGGUGCCGCCCGAGUUCCCUGGAACGGGACGCCAUAGAGGGUGAGAGCCCCGUCUGGCUGGCCACCAAGCCUCUGUAAAGCUCCUUCGACGAGUCGAGUAGUUUGGGAAUGCUGCUCUAAAUGGGAGGUAUAUGUCUUCUAAAGCUAAAUAUUGGCCAGAGACCGAUAGCGCACAAGUAGAGUGAUCGAAAGAUGAAAAGCACUUUGAAAAGAGGGUUAAAUAGUACGUGAAAUUGUUGAAAGGGAAGCGCUCAUGACCAGACUUGGGCUUGGCGAAUCAUCCAGCGUUCUCGCUGGUGCACUUUGCCUUGCCCAGGCCAGCAUCAGUUCGUCGCGGGGGAUAAAGGUUUCGGGAACGUGGCUCCUCCGGGAGUGUUAUAGCCCGUUGCGUAAUACCCUGCGGUGGACUGAGGUUCGCGCAUCUGCAAGGAUGCUGGCGUAAUGGUCAUCAGCGACCCGUCUUGA